RNAcentral lists this ribosomal RNA (212 nucleotides) under Cyclophora tenuis. RNAcentral describes it as "partial Bacterial large subunit ribosomal RNA". It matches the Rfam family "Bacterial large subunit ribosomal RNA", at positions 2072 to 2283 of the family's 2925-position model. The record is from RNAcentral. Lineage: Eukaryota; Bacillariophyta; Fragilariophyceae; Cyclophorales; Cyclophoraceae.
GCGGCAAGACGGAAAGACCCCGUGAACCUUUACUGCAGCUUGACAUUGGCUGCCGGUUCGUCGUGUAGAGGAUAGGUGGGAGACGCUGAACCAGGGACGCCAGUCUCUGGGGAGUCGCCCUUGGAAUACCACCCUCGACGUUCUGGCAUCCUAACCCGCGACCGUCACCCGGCGUGGGGACCGUGUCAGGUGGGUAGUUUGACUGGGGCGGU